GAUUCAACACCGAAAACUAGAUGGUUACUGCGCCUAUGGGCGGUCCCUCGGUUCCCUGAAUUUUUCUUCGGGAACUGAAGCGCGCUUACGGUACCUACAAGUGUCCAAAAUAAACCCAAAAAUCAGACCUAGGGCCUACUCGGCCAAUUUUGGAAUUCCAGCACGGCGGCUCCACUGUGCUCCGACAACGGCACCGCCGCCCAUGGCGGCGAUCCGCCUCAAGUUGGCUAUUUUUGGCUGAACUUUCAUCGAUUCCUGUGAGAAAACCCACUUAGGGCCCUCGGUGGGCUGAAAAAACGUAAAAAACUGAAACUCAACCUAUGGUGGGGCUCUCCGGUAUGGUGGCUCCUUCAGCUCAUGUUACGGUUGGGUGUUUUGCUUCGGUCAACCUGUAGAGAAGGAAACGGUGGUUACAACGGUGAAAAAAUCACAUCGAACGGGAAUCAAG
RNAcentral lists this long non-coding RNA (448 nucleotides) under Carica papaya (papaya). RNAcentral describes it as "long non-coding RNA (CPAP_LNC015070)". The record is from RNAcentral. Lineage: Eukaryota; Viridiplantae; Streptophyta; Magnoliopsida; Brassicales; Caricaceae.